RNAcentral lists this long non-coding RNA (313 nucleotides) under Vitis vinifera (wine grape). RNAcentral describes it as "long non-coding RNA (VVIN_LNC004417)". Lineage: Eukaryota; Viridiplantae; Streptophyta; Magnoliopsida; Vitales; Vitaceae. The record is from RNAcentral.
CAAGAGCUUUGCUUGCUGUUUUUCUUGAGUAUCCACCUAGGCAUAAGAGAUACAAACUGUUAAACCUUAGUACCAAUACCGUUUUCAUAUAAUGAGAUGUUGUAUUUCAUGAGACUGUUUUUCCCUUCACAUCUAUUCCACAAGCUGCCGAAUCUUCUAAUUAUUUUCUGACCGAGUGUUGCCAUGUCGUAUACUAAAUGUCACUCCUCGUUACAAUUCAGUUGAUCAAGUGUUGAUUCCACCACUACUAUUACUAUUCCAUCUUCACAAAAUCUUGGAUCUUCUCGUCCCUCUCGAGUCAUUAAACCUUCUU